AGUGAACGCUGGCGGUAGGCCUAACACAUGCAAGUCGAACGGCAGCACAGUAAGAGCUUGCUCUUACGGGUGGCGAGUGGCGCGCGGGUGAGGAAUACAUCGGAAUCUACUUUUUCGUGGGGGAUCACGUAGGGAAACUUACGCUAAUACCGCAUACGACCUACGGGUGAAAGCAGGGGAUCUUCGGACCUUGCGCGAUUGAAUGAGCCGAUGUCGGAUUAGCUAGUUGGCGGGGUAAAGGCCCACCAAGGCGACGAUCCGUAGCUGGUCUGAGAGGAUGAUCAGCCACACUGGAACUGAGACACGGUCCAGACUCCUACGGGAGGCAGCAGUGGGGAAUAUUGGACAAUGGGCGCAAGCCUGAUCCAGCCAUACCGCGUGGGUGAAGAAGGCCUUCGGGUUGUAAAGCCCUUUUGUUGGGAAAGAAAAGCAGCAGGUUAAUACCCCGCUGUUCUGACGGUACCCAAAGAAUAAGCACCGGCUAACUUCGUG
RNAcentral lists this ribosomal RNA (492 nucleotides) under uncultured bacterium. Its description in RNAcentral is "partial 16S ribosomal RNA". It matches the Rfam family "Bacterial small subunit ribosomal RNA", at positions 29 to 507 of the family's 1533-position model. The record is from RNAcentral.